Long non-coding RNA from Vicia villosa (hairy vetch), 1034 nucleotides. RefSeq lists it as uncharacterized. NCBI's taxonomy places the organism in Eukaryota, Viridiplantae, Streptophyta, Magnoliopsida, Fabales, Fabaceae. The record is from RefSeq and is a predicted model, not a curated record. The transcript has 3 exons.
AGUUUCAUUUAUUAUUUAUCUUCUCUCUCUUCAGCUUCCAUCCCUUCCCUCUUGUUCACAUCCAAACCCUAAUCCUAGCCGCCAUCCAUCCGCCGCCGUCUAUCAUACCCAUCUUAAAUCCUCUUCUCAAGUUCAUCUUCUCCAAUAUGUCACAAUGUUUUCCAUUUCCAAUUCGUUUCUAUUGAUUUCUUAUUCUUUCAUAUUCUAUUUCACUUACACCAUUCUUAAUCAUUCAACAUCUUUCUAUUCUUCUUUUGUUUAUGUUCCAGAAGAAUAGAAGGACAAUAGUUGCAUCUUUAUUCUUUUUGAACAAAAGGUUAUUGAUUUAAAGGUUGCCGAGACUUGAGACUUAAGAGGUUGUUGGUGGCUUAUUGAAGAACUAAUAAAUGUAUUUGUUUUGUUAUUAUUUUGAUAUAAAUGUAAUAAUUUAUGUUAUUUUUGAAGUUAUUGGAUGUGAGAUAUGCACUUUUGAAUUGGGCCAAAAAUAAAAUAUUGUAAUAUAUUGACUUAAAAUUAGUGAAAGUAAUUUAAGAAAAAAGCUAAACAAAUUAUUUGGCUUAAAAUUGGAAGUAACCCAAUAACCCGAAAUGCCCGUCCGAAAGCACCCGCAACCCGUUUUAAACCAACCCGUCAAAACCGAUACAAAUUUUGGGCGGAAUUGGGCCUGUUUUCUCCAACCGUGGGUUGGGCUGGGUGGUGGUUUUGGGCCCGAAACCGCCCAACCCGGCCCGUUGUCCACCCCUAAGUGUAACUAUAAGUGUAACAUAUUGGUGUAAUUUGAUCCCUCCUCAUAUAUAUAUAUAUAUAUAUAUAUAUAUAUAUAUAUAUAUAUAUAUAUAUAGUGUAUUCCCAAGAAUUAACAAUUACUGUAAAGCAGUGUUUAUCAUGUGUUUUGUGACAUAAAUUACACAUUCUUAUCCUCUUGGCUAUUUUGGCGUCCACAAAUAAAGUUUAUAUAGUAAGUAAUAAUAUCGACAAAAAACACAAAAUUAUAGAUAAAUGAAUGCCACAAAUAAUACACUUACAAUAGGGGU